CGUUUUAAUCGCGUUAGAAGAGUUUCCGAGGCGGGUAUUGGCGAGUUUUGGCCAAUUUCGGGAAAGGUUAAGGAGGUAUCAAGGCAAGCCGGAUUUCAAUUAAUCCCGAAAAAGGCGCGCGCUUUGGGGAUCCGCCAGCUUAGGAUUCCACUCAGCAAAUUUGAAAGAAGC
Long non-coding RNA from Solanum dulcamara, 171 nucleotides. RefSeq lists it as uncharacterized. The transcript is spliced from 3 exons. The record is from RefSeq and is a predicted model, not a curated record. Lineage: Eukaryota; Viridiplantae; Streptophyta; Magnoliopsida; Solanales; Solanaceae.